GACGAACGCUGGCGGCGUGGAUUAGGCAUGCAAGUCGGACGGUAGAGCUUUAUCGUAAGAUAGAGUUUGAGAGUGGCGAACGGGUGAGUAACACGUAGGAAUCUACCCUUAAGACGGGGACAACCCAGGGAAACUUGGGCUAAUACCGGAUGAGAGUGCGAGAGAUUGCAUUUAAAAGGAUGGCGAAAGUUGUCGCUUAGGGAUGAGCCUGCGGUCUAUUAGUUAGUUGGUGAGGUAAGAGCUCACCAAGGCGAUGAUAGAUAGGCGGCCUUAACGGGUGGUCGCCCACACUGGGAUUGAGAUACGGCCCAGACUCCUACGGGAGGCAGCAGUGGGGAAUAUUGGACAAUGGGCGAAAGCCUGAUCCAGCAACGCCGCGUGAGGGAUGACGGCCUUCGGGUUGUAAACCUCUUUCAGUAGGGACGAAGCGCAAGUGACGGUACCUACAGAAGAAGCACCGGCCAACUACGUG
RNAcentral lists this ribosomal RNA (472 nucleotides) under uncultured bacterium. RNAcentral describes it as "bacterial SSU rRNA". It matches the Rfam family "Bacterial small subunit ribosomal RNA", at positions 28 to 507 of the family's 1533-position model. The record is from RNAcentral.